This 455-nucleotide long non-coding RNA is filed under the name Phoenix dactylifera (date palm). RNAcentral describes it as "long non-coding RNA (PDAC_LNC007425)". The record is from RNAcentral. Lineage: Eukaryota; Viridiplantae; Streptophyta; Magnoliopsida; Arecales; Arecaceae.
GGAUUUCAUGCCAUAAUAGGGUAUUAAGCCCAGAUUAAGCUAAGGGGACCUUGUACUCAUGCAAGGGAGUCCCUAAUACACAUAAAUGGUGAGUUAAUUAAUAGAAAAAGAAAAAAAGAAAGAAAAGAAAAGAUUUAGGGAACGGGGGAGUUGAAUCAAUUAAAGUCCCCUAUAUUAUAAUUGGCAUGUAGAUUAUAGCCCUUGAUACAAGACUAAAUGUAUUGUAAAUGCAUGUCACAGUUGGGCAAGAAGCUAGGGAACAAGAGGAAGAAGUUCCCCACUGCCUGCUGUAGAUUUUUGGAGGCGUAUCAGGGCUGUGCCGGAUUGACAGGUCAGUGGGAGCUUGUACUUUGUACCAUGAGCAUAUUCAUUAUUCAUUUUCAUGAAUGUUGCCAAGUGUGACUUGAUUCCACCUGAGCUUAUUGAUUAAUUGUUGUAGUAGAUUCCUCUAUAAU